This 2740-nucleotide long non-coding RNA is filed under the name Daucus carota (carrot). RNAcentral's name for it is "long non-coding RNA (DCAR_LNC000336)". Lineage: Eukaryota; Viridiplantae; Streptophyta; Magnoliopsida; Apiales; Apiaceae. The record is from RNAcentral.
UCAUUAUUCAAACUAAUACAUAUAUCAAAAGUCAAGCGCUGCCGAUAGCUCUCUCCAUCUCUCAGCCUGGAAUCCUGGCCUUACCACUAGCCUGAGUAUCAUCGUUACCAACCUUCUCUGCUUUCACUGGAAAGAACAUAGAGUAUCGCAAGAGUGAGCUGACAAGCUCAGCAAGUAUAACAAUAUCCAUUUAAACAUUUAUCAAAAGAUGAUGGAAAUCAAUAUUUAAUAGAAUCAAUCUCAAUGUCAAAGUUUCUUUUUAGAGUUUCAAUUAGAAUUGGAUAUUAAAUUUUAUUUUUAAAAACCAAAGGUUAGGCUGCUGAUCAGUCAGACACUAACCCCGAGCAGGCCCCGCCAUGCUCGUUUACUGGAUCCAAGGCACACAUUGGCCUAAAGUGACCACUCAUCUGGUCUGACCAUUCAUUUGGUCCAUUUAAGAAAAACUAUCCAAUUCUAUUAUAAAUCAGGAUGAAUAACAAUAUAAUGCAAUAAACAGAAUCAUUAAGAACAUGAUUAAAUUUUGGAGCAGAAACAGAAUUCAUUUCAGCAAUAUCUUUAAGAUAUUCUACAAUAAGAAUCAGGAAUAAUUCCACGAGUCAAAGGAUCAGAUAUAGCAUAUCUGGAUUUCAAGUGAAACAAUAGUCAUGGUCUGUAUGAAAGAAGGUUUCUGGUUUUAUUAAAGAAUUCACAUGUCAAAAGGGUGUUUUCAAGUCCAAAGAAAUUAGGUUAUUGAAAAGGAAUCACAAUUGUGGGGUGUAUGGUAUUCCAGGUAUGAUUGACUUCCAGUCAAUUGGUUUGGAUAUCAAAGGUGUGUCAGAACAUUGAAAUAAGGUUUAUAUGGUAGUUAUCCAAAAAUCUCAAGGUUUGAAGGUUUACAAUUGAAUAAGGUUUCCAAAAUAGAUAUCAAAGAAUCAAGUUAAUGGCUCAAGAAUCAAUGAAUGAAUAGUUCAAGUGAUAGUCAAAGAAUCUGGUUGAUGGUUUAAGAAUCGAUGAAUUAAACAAUUCAUGAUAUGGCUCAAUAAGUGUCAUGAGUGAAUUAGAAAGCUCGCAAAGCAAUCACAUCAAGGAUCAUAUAUAUAUAAUUGAAGGAAAGUAUCAAGGAAACUUGCCUUAUACUGACGAUUUCAAAUUUCAAUCGCUCCUGCUCGAUAUACUAUUCUAUAUCCACUUGCUUUCCCCUUUAUUACGCCUCGCUUCUCUGCUAAUCAUCACAACUAAUUAUCAAUAUGUGAUCUCAUACUAUUCUCAUCAUCUUACAUUCGAAACGAGCUUCUAUCUACCCUUCGUUUCACCCAAAUCCGAUUUACGGAUCAAAAGAUAUGUCAAAAACAAUUUUAUAUCAAUCACGUAAACACAUAACAUGUCAAUCAGAUAGCACAUAGCACAUAUCACAUAAAAUAUUUAAUAAAAUAUAUUUUUCAAAAGAAGUUUGAAGUCAAACGGAUUUUUCUGGUAUUUAUUAUGAAUUUUUAAACAUUUUUCGGAAUUAAAACGGUCAAAGAAUCAUUUUAUAAAUAAAUAAUCCAUUUCUGGAUACUCGAAAUCAAGUCCGAAAUCAUUUGAAAUCAAUUAACGAGCUUCAAUCAUAUUUUAGAAUAAUAUUUUAAAGCUCGAAACUAUUUUUCGGAAUUUUAAAAUCAUUUAAAAAUAUUUAAAAUAAUUAAAUCUAAUUAAUAAAUCAAUUAAAAUCAAUUAAUAAUUAAUUAAAACAAUUAAUCAAUUAAUAAUUAAAUUAAUUGACUAAUUAUAAUAAUUAAUUACUAAUUAAAAUUAAUUAAUAAAUUAAAUCAGAUUUAUUUUUGAAUUAAUGAAUAUUUAAAAACAAUUUUUGAAAUUAAAAUAAACGAUUUUCGAAAUUAAAUUUAAAUCAAAAAUCAUUUUUAAAACUUUUUAAAAGUCCAGGGUUUGAAUUGUAACGUUUGGAAACUUCAGGGUUUGAUUUGUAAAACCAGAAAGUUAAAUCCCACAACUUCACCACCUCCAAAAGUCCAGGGGCCAAACUGCAAUUUUGCAGCCGCCGCCCCUGGCUUCGCCGGAGGUGGUGAUUCCGGCCACCAACGGCCUCCAAACGGUGCAGAUAUGGAGUACUAAGCCUCCCCAACUCAUCCAUACAAUCCACUUCACCAGAAACGGCCGGAAUCGACCGUAAUCGAUCGAAGAAACUCGCCGUCGCCGGCGAGGUUUCUUUGAAUCGAUUCGUUCGAUUCACGAACCUCAGCUAAGAUCUGAAGGUAUGUACAGGUUCCUGGGGUCACAACAAACAUGCUGGUAUCAUCCAAUUCCCCUUCUACCUCCUAGAUUAAAAAGCCCCAAAUUUCAAUUGAAAACCUUCAUCGCGAUUUAGAACCCUAAUUUUCAAUUUCGAACUUUAAACCUAAAAUUAACUAUGUUAUUGAACUCCAAAUCAAGCAUAUGAUAUACCAAAAUGAUCAGGAGAAGAUUAUCUACAACAUACAAUCAUCAAAUCACACAAACAACUUCAAAAUCAAAAAGCCCUAAUUUAAGCCUAUUUAUUUCGAAUUUAAAACUCAAAAUCCACACCCACCUGAUGUUGCUGCACUGAUUUUGAUGCUAGAUUAUGAUUCUACUUGUUAAAACCUUCAAUUUGAGCCCUUGAACGCCAAAAUCCGAGUCCGAUAACGCGUCCAAAUCCUCGUUUGAAUCUCAAGAACACGAAGAACUCUCUCGGGAAUUUCUCGGUUUUAACUGGUUUUAUGAUUUUCGUAAUAAAAUAAAGUAC